CCUCACAGAGCAGGAGCUGCUUAAACUCUGCAAAGCGCCUGGGACUCUGAAGGGAUCGGUCCAUUCCGGGCACUUCUAUUAUUUCCGUGUAAUCAAGCUGUGCAGCAACUUGCAGGACAGAGACCCCGCUUCAUACGGAUUCCUAGGGAGGGAGAUGAGCCUGCAGACACAGACAGCUGAACACAGUCAAACGCUACAGAUUCCUUUGUCCCAUCUGACAACUCACUUCAACUUUAAUCCUGGGCAGGGGACUCUCGAAAACUGAAAGGAUCUCUUACCUUCUGGCCAAAUAAAAUUCACCAACACCCACACAUAUCCACACCUCAUUUGGAAGUAUAUGCAAGUGGCAAAAGACUCUACCCAAAGGUCCUAAGCAUCUCUUUUAUCACUGCUUCCUUACAAGAUCAAAACCAAGGACUCUGCAACGAAGGCUGGUGCAGACAUGGCAGCACUAAGCAGGACACAAUAAGAUGUAAAGCCACAACAACACAGAGCUGAAACCCCUGAACUUGCAACCAUUGAAAAAGCUAUAGCCAUCAGCCAGGAAGGAAAUGAGGCGAGUUACUGCCAUUCUUUAUUUGCAGAUAUUUUUAUUACCAGAUAUAUUGUGUCAUUUUAAAACUGUGACCAAGUUCUCUUUUCACAACAUAAACUUCUUUGUUUGUAACUCUUCCUAUGACUUUUAUCAGUGGAGUUUCUUGUACGAAG
RNAcentral lists this long non-coding RNA (708 nucleotides) under Gallus gallus (chicken). The record is from RNAcentral. Lineage: Eukaryota; Metazoa; Chordata; Aves; Galliformes; Phasianidae.